RNAcentral lists this ribosomal RNA (262 nucleotides) under Leifsonia sp. ISO416_OTU1136. Its description in RNAcentral is "partial 16S ribosomal RNA". It matches the Rfam family "Bacterial small subunit ribosomal RNA", at positions 29 to 289 of the family's 1533-position model. Lineage: Bacteria; Bacillati; Actinomycetota; Actinomycetes; Micrococcales; Microbacteriaceae. RNAcentral also lists the same sequence under 1 other name. The record is from RNAcentral.
ACGAACGCUGGCGGCGUGCUUAACACAUGCAAGUCGAACGAUGAACCAGGAGCUUGCUCUUGGGGAUUAGUGGCGAACGGGUGAGUAACACGUGAGUAACCUGCCCUUGACUCUGGGAUAACCUCCGGAAACGGAAGCUAAUACCGGAUAUGACGUACGGAGGCAUCUCCUGUACGUGGAAAGAAUUUCGGUCAAGGAUGGACUCGCGGCCUAUCAGGUAGUUGGUGAGGUAACGGCCCACCAAGCCUACGACGGGUAGCCG